GACGAACGCUGGCGGCGUGCUUAACACAUGCAAGUCGAGCGGUAAGGCCCUUUCGGGGGUACACGAGCGGCGAACGGGUGAGUAACACGUGGGUGCCCUGCCCUCAGCUCUGGGAUAAGCCUGGGAAACCGGGUCUAAUACUGGAUAUGACUCCAUGACGCAUGUUGUGGGGUGGAAAGCCUUGUGCGGCUGAGGAUGGGCCCGCGGCCUAUCAGCUUGUUGGUGGGGUGANGGCCUACCAAGGCGACGACGGGUAGCCGGCCUGAGAGGGCGACCGGCCACACUGGGACUGAGACACGGCCCAGACUCCUACGGGAGGCAGCAGUGGGGAAUCUUGCGCAAUGGGCGAAAGCCUGACGCAGCGACGCCGCGUGAGGGAUGACGGCCU
RNAcentral lists this ribosomal RNA (388 nucleotides) under uncultured bacterium. Its description in RNAcentral is "bacterial SSU rRNA". It matches the Rfam family "Bacterial small subunit ribosomal RNA", at positions 28 to 417 of the family's 1533-position model. The record is from RNAcentral.